GACUACCGGGGUAUCUAAUCCUGUUUGCUACCCACGCUUUCGUGUCUCAGCGUCAGUUACAGUCCAGUAAGCCGCCUUCGCCACUGGUGUUCCUCCUAAUAUCUACGCAUUUCACCGCUACACUAGGAAUUCCGCUUACCUCUCCUGCACUCAAGUCAUACAGUUUCAAGUGCCAACCAUGGUUGAGCCAUGAUCUUUUACACCUGACAUAUAUAACCGCCUACUCACCCUUUACGCCCAGUAAAUCCGGACAACGCUCGCCCCCUACGUAUUACCGCGGCUGCUGGCACGUAGUUAGCCGGGGCUUCCUCCUUGGCUACCGUCCUUUUCUUCACCAAGGACAGAGUUUUACGAUCCGAAGACCUUCUUCACUCACGCGGCGUCGCUGCAUCAGAGUUCCCUCCAUUGUGCAAUAUUCCCCACUGCAGCCCCCCGUAGG
Molecule: ribosomal RNA, 439 nt
Filed under: uncultured Sedimentibacter sp.
Lineage: Bacteria; Bacillati; Bacillota; Tissierellia
Description: partial 16S ribosomal RNA
Source: RNAcentral